UUCGUAACAAGGUUUCCGUAGGUGAACCUGCGGAAGGAUCAUUNUUGAUACCUGCAAAGCANACCCGCGAACACGUUACAAACAUGUUUGGGAUCGUGCGUCUGAUGCCUUGGCGUCCCUCGUCACACUCCCUUCCCGGGCACGCAUGCUUGCAUGCGUUGCUCGGCUUAAUGAACAUCCCGGCGCGGCAAGCGCCAAGGAAAACUAUAACGAGAAUGCUUGCUCCUGCUAGGCAUCGUUCGCGGUGUAUUUUGUUGGGUGGCAUGCAACUCCUUGUAUCACUGAACGACUCUCGGCAACGGAUAUCUCGGCUCUCGCAUCGAUGAAGAACGUAGUGAAAUGCGAUACUUGGUGUGAAUUGCAGAAUCCCGUGAACCAUCGAGUCUUUGAACGCAAGUUGCGCCCGAAGCCAUUUGGCCGAGGGCACGUCUGCCUGGGCGUCACACAUCGCGUCGCCCCCCUCCCAUCCCUUUCUUUUGUGGAAGUGGGUGUGGCCUAGGGGGCGGACAUUGGCCUCCCGUGCUAUUCUUGUGCGGUUGGCCCAAAUUUGAUAUUGGGUCGACGUAUGUCACGCCUAGUGGUGGUUGAAACAAUCGCGUGCUUUUGUGUGAUAUAUUUGUCGGAUUCUGAAAAUCNNNNUUGACCCAGCAUUUUUAUCGAUCG
Molecule: ribosomal RNA, 663 nt
Filed under: Phinaea pulchella
Lineage: Eukaryota; Viridiplantae; Streptophyta; Magnoliopsida; Lamiales; Gesneriaceae
Description: eukaryotic LSU rRNA
Rfam family: 5.8S ribosomal RNA (bases 288-443)
Source: RNAcentral